UCCCCACUCCAUUCCCACCACGUACUACCGCGUGCUGCAGAGUGCCAUUUCUGACAACACUCGGGACAGUUCGCUGGCAAUGCCGAUAUGAAGCUGGCUCCCCCAUCGCGUCCCUCAAUUGAAUUAUUCCAAAGGCGAGUGAGGAGGACGUAAAUAAUUCAGAAAUCAGAAAAAUAUAAGAGAAACAGAAAAUUAAUGGAGAAAAUGUGGAAGAGUCGGACAAAUAAAAUAUCCAAAGC
Long non-coding RNA from Ooceraea biroi (clonal raider ant), 239 nucleotides. RefSeq lists it as uncharacterized. The record is from RefSeq and is a predicted model, not a curated record. NCBI's taxonomy places the organism in Eukaryota, Metazoa, Arthropoda, Insecta, Hymenoptera, Formicidae.